AACAGGAUUAGAUACCCUGGUAGUCCACGCCGUAAACGAUGUCGACUUGGAGGUUGUGCCCUUGAGGCGUGGCUUCCGGAGCUAACGCGUUAAGUCGACCGCCUGGGGAGUACGGCCGCAAGGUUAAAACUCAAAUGAAUUGACGGGGGCCCGCACAAGCGGUGGAGCAUGUGGUUUAAUUCGAUGCAACGCGAAGAACCUUACCUACUCUUGACAUCCAGCGAACUUAGCAGAGAUGCUUUGGUGCCUUCGGGAACGCUGAGACAGGUGCUGCAUGGCUGUCGUCAGCUCGUGUUGUGAAAUGUUGGGUUAAGUCCCGCAACGAGCGCAACCCUUAUCCUUUGUUGCCAGCGAUUCGGUCGGGAACUCAAAGGAGACUGCCGGUGAUAAACCGGAGGAAGGUGGGGAUGACGUCAAGUCAUCAUGGCCCUUACGAGUAGGGCUACACACGUGCUACAAUGGCGCAUACAAAGAGAAGCGACCUCGCGAGAGCAAGCGGACCUCACAAAGUGCGUCGUAGUCCGGAUCGGAGUCUGCAACUCGACUCCGUGAAGUCGGAAUCGCUAGUAAUCGUGGAUCAGAAUGCCACGGUGAAUACGUUCCCGGGCCUUGUACACACCGCCCGUCACACCAUGGGAGUGGGUUGCAAAAGAAGUAGGUAGCUUAACCUUCGGGAGGGCGCUUACCACUUUGUGAUUCAUGACUGGGGUGAAGUCGUAACAAGGUAACC
Molecule: ribosomal RNA, 730 nt
Filed under: uncultured bacterium
Lineage: Bacteria
Description: bacterial SSU rRNA
Rfam family: Bacterial small subunit ribosomal RNA
Source: RNAcentral